RNAcentral lists this long non-coding RNA (4061 nucleotides) under Xyrichtys novacula (pearly razorfish). Lineage: Eukaryota; Metazoa; Chordata; Actinopteri; Labriformes; Labridae. The record is from RNAcentral.
UUUCUUCUUCAUUCGCCUCAUCGAUCCUUAAACGAUUUAUUACUGAUCAAUACAUCACUCUGUUUGUCUCACACACACACCACUUUAUUGAAUCAGCCUUACCGUGCACCCACCCACACACACACACACACAAACACGCUUGCUCGCGCACACACACACACACUGUUUUUAAACUUUUUACUGGUUUUACUGAAGACUCUGUUGUGUGUGUGUGUGUGUGUGUGUGUGUGUGUGUGUGUGUGUGUGUGUGUGUGUGUGUGUGUGGACCUAGUUCACUUCCUGCCAGAGAGAGAGAAAAGGGGGAGAGAGGGUGAACGAGAGAGAGAGACAGAUUGGAAACAGACGUUGCCCCCCCCUCCUCCUCUCUCUCUCUCUCUCUCUCUCUCUCUCUCUCUCUCUCUCUCUCUCUCUCUCUCUCUCUCUCUCUCUCUCUCCCUCUCUCUCUCUCUCUGAGUCAGUCGGUUGUUUCCAUUCGUCUUCUAUGUGGAAUGAACUCAGACUGAGGAGGAGAAGAGGAGGAGGAGGAGGUGAAGGAAGAAGAAGAAGAAGAAAAGAGGAGUGGAAGGAGAUCUACGAUAAAGAAGAAGAAGAAGACGAAGAAGAGGAGGAGGAGGAGGAGGAGAAGGAGGAGUAAGCGGAGCAGCAUCAGCAGGUCUGAAAACACUCGUCUUUUUCUCAUCCCUCGCUCUUUUCCUCCGUCUCUGUAUCGUCCGGCGUCCUCUCUUUCUGCUGAGUGGACAUGUUUUCUUCUGUGUACCUCCAUCAGAAACUGCAGUAAUACUCCGAGUACUGCGAGUACUACCACUGUCACUGAGUCUGUUACUGCGUACGGAGAGGACAAACACUCAGAGACGUCCUCUCUGUUCAGAUUCAGAUCUUUAUUAUAAAAUCAUUACAACAGUUCGUCCACAGGGGGCGCUGUGAUCAACACAAACAAACACUCUGAUGACUGAAACCAGCUGAAGUAAAGUUCAAAUAUUUAACUCAAGUUUGAGUUUAAUAAGAAACUGAAGAGACUAAAAGUAAAAUAUCGAACAGAAAAAGAACUUUGAGAAACACGAAAAACAACAAAACUAAUGAUACGGGGAAAAAAAACAAACAGGUCCAAAGUUCUGACGUUAAACAAACAUCUGGAGGAACAUCUCAGGAGGUUUACUUCCAACAGGUUAGUCACAUGACCGGGUCUAAGACGGACCUUCAGAGAGGCGGUUUCAUCCUCUACAGAAGAUCAGAUCAUUCAGAGAAAUCUUUGUACUAAAGGGGGACAAGGACCAGAACCAGGACUGGAUGGUCCUGAUCUUUAGAAACAGACAGGACUCUGGAGUUGGGUUUGAUAUCACUCGUCCGUGAACUGUCCUGAGGUCUGCUGGAUCAAGAUCUAACAGUCUUUAGGAAACGUAGAACUGUAAAUCAUAGAUGCUGCAUCCUCAGUUUAAAACAAGAUCUCCAGGUCUAGGAGGAACAUCUGCGUCCAUCCAGACCUUCAUAUGAUCCAGAACCACAUCCUGACACCAGCAUGGCUCUGUAGGAGAAGAGUCCUGGACUGAUGUGGUCUUUUUGUUGUUGUUGACAGAAUUAAACCAAUCAGGACACAGGAAGCAACCCUCAACAUGGCGACCUGACGGACAGGUGACACACCUGUGGACAGGUAGGCGUGACCGUACAGAGAUUAGAUUACCCACAAUUCAACUCGGCUGUGGAUUAUAUUUAUCAUGCUUUGCUUCGUGUCGCUACCCGAUCCGUCCCGGAAACCCGAUCCAUACUAAGUGCAAAUCUGGCGAUGUGACAGGCUAGCUAAAUGCCGAGCUAAUGCCGAGGUAUUCUCCAGAGCUCCUGCCCAGAACGGUGAGACCUUUUGGGCCACAAAGAGCGCCACCACCUGGUCAAAAUGAUGGUUCUCUGACUCUUCUAAGUAUCAGGAUCGUGUUUUUGGGACGGAUUAGGAGGAGACACCAUGUUUGUCGAGGCGAAUGAAGCUCAGGUCCACGGUCUCUAUGCUGACUCAGGUGGUCACUCUGGUUUAAACUCUGACGCUGUCGGAGAAAGGCAUUCUGGGGGUUGUAGUUCAUGGAUGAGCCGGUAAUAAAAAAUCAUCUGUAGUUUGACAAGGACAGUUUACACUACACACACACACACACACACACACACACACACACACACACACACACACACACACACACUGCUGGUGUUUGUGUGUCUCAUCCUGCUCUGCUCUGAUUGGCUCUCAGUGACCAAUAAGAGCUCAGCAAAUACAAACAUGGAAUAACAGUUCACCUCUUAUUUCUGGGUAUAAGAGAGGACCUGUACUCUGAGUGUGUGUGUGUGUGUGUGUGUGUGUGUGUGUGUGUGUGUGUGUGUGUGUGUGUGUGUGUGUGUUAAAGAAAAUGAACCUGGUCGUGUCAGUAAAAGUUUGUUCAAACUCUUCAUAUCGAUCAUAUGAUCAUCAAUAAUGACUCAGAGGAGUGUUUUAGACUCUCUGCUGGUCUGAACCUCAGUCCUCUGGUCUGAACCCCAGUCCUCUGGUCUGAACCUCAGUCCUCUGGUCCUCUGGUCUGAACCCCAGUCCUCUGGUCUGAACCUCAGUCCUCCGGUCUGAACCCCAGUCCUCUGGUCUGAACCCCAGUCCUCUGGUCCUCCGGUCUGAACCUCAGUCCUCCGGUCUGAACCCCAGUCCUCCGGUCUGAACCUCAGUCCUCCGGUCUCAACCCCAGUCCUCCGGUCUGAACCUCAGUCCUCCGGUCCUCUGGUCUGAACCUCAGUCCUCAGUCCUCCGGUCUGAACCCCAGUCCUCUGGUCUGAACCUCAGUCCUCAGUCCUCCGGUCUGAACCCCAGUCCUCUGGUCUGAACCUCAGUCCUCAGUCCUCUGGUCAGUCUCAGUCCUCUGGUCUGAACCUCGUCACAGACUUGAACUGGUCCUGGUUUAGCUGCCGACACUGAUUAGGUAUUAGGAACCACUGUAGGUACCAGCUGGUUUAGUGAGUGGCGUCACACCGUGGGACCUUCUGUCUGGUAGAUUAACACCUUCACUUCAUGAUCGGCUGAAGUUCGGAGACUUCACCAAGUUUCGCACUUUUCCGUUGUUUGUCCUCGUGGACUUGCUGUAACGACAAACAGGAGUGUUGUCGACUCCUAAGACGGGAAAGCCCCUCCCAGCUGUCGUAAAUGUCACUUGAAGUCGCUCGAUGACGUCAUCGCCUAGUUUGCAUAAUUUCUCUGUCAAACCAACUGUUGCCACCGACGUCCCCAACCCCGCGAGGAGGAGGAGGAGGAGAAGGAGGAGGAGGAGGAGGAGAAGGAGGAGGAGUCUCCCGCGGGGUGCCUGAGUGUCUGUGUUUUUGAACCGGCUGCCUGUUGAGAAGAGUAACAUCGAUUUCUGCGUUUCUGAGUCUCUAAAGUCCAGAAAAAGUCACUAGAUUUGUUGUGAGGCGCUUUUUUAAAAAUGAGUCGUUAGAGGGUCUGAAAAGAUGACAAAGUCGCUCGGUCGGCAACGCUUCAUCAAACCGAUAUUCAAACCUCCGACAGACAUUUAUCAUCAAGUCAAAGAAAGUCACUCUAUAUUUUCAUCUACAGCUUUUGAAAACAAACGGCCAAACGGCCAAUCAGAUUCGAGCAGAGGACCGCAAGCUGAUCUGACCACCUGACCACAUCCGGUACUUAAACAUGGCGACGUUAGCGGUUCACGGUUUUCUGGAUCAAACGGAGCUGUGACUCAGCGGAGUGAACCACGAAUAAAACUGAGAACAGACGAAGAAGAAGCAGCUGCUGUUAGCGAACUAGAGCUAGCAUCCCUCAGAGAGAUGAUCUUUAAAAAACUGAACUUCAAAGAAUCAAAAACAGCGUUAGAGCUCGAGUCUCUUCAGGUCGUUGAUCAACUCCAUAUUUCUGAAGUGACCUGAUGGAAACAGGAAGCUUACCAAAAUAAAAGCAUGACAGGAAGGAGAGAGCAGUUUGGUGAAGACGAAGUUCAAAACUUUAAAACCCUGAUGAGAAAAACGACCCCUGAUGACCCAGACUACACCUCGUUAAACCGCCAUUCUCUCCACACGAUGCACGUUAAGCC